CCCUAUCACAGAAUAGGGCCUGACACAAAAUCUAUCUAAAGUGUGGGAUUCCCGUCCACCUGGUGGACGGGAAAUCUGAUUGGUUGAUCAGCAUCAUGAAGGAUUUUGAUUGGUUGCAAGUUCACAUAAACAACAGUUUUAAAGAUAGCUCGGUCAAGGCGAGAAUUAAUAUAAAGGUCAAACGCACGUAACAAAUUCCAUUAUCGAUUUCUUCGAAUUUCUUUCCUUUUAUGCUUUAUGGAAGAAAAUAAAUCAAACAAACAGUAUUUUGAAAGGGCUUCAUCAAAAUCUUUGACGAAUUUUGGAC
Molecule: long non-coding RNA, 307 nt
Filed under: Paramuricea clavata
Lineage: Eukaryota; Metazoa; Cnidaria; Anthozoa; Malacalcyonacea; Plexauridae
Source: RNAcentral